This 307-nucleotide ribosomal RNA is filed under the name uncultured bacterium. RNAcentral's name for it is "partial 16S ribosomal RNA". It matches the Rfam family "Bacterial small subunit ribosomal RNA", at positions 506 to 809 of the family's 1533-position model. The record is from RNAcentral.
AGACAGCAGCCGCCGCGGUAAUACGAAGGGGGCUAGCGUUGCUCGGAAUCACUGGGCGUAAAGGGUGCGCAGGCGGACAUAUAAGUCCAUCUUAAAAGUGCGGGGCUCAACCCCGUGAGGGGAUGGAAACUGUAUGCCUUGAGUGCAGGAGAGGAAAGCGGAAUUCCCAGUGUAGCGGUGAAAUGCGUAGAUAUUGGGAGGAACACCAGUGGCGAAGGCGGCUUUCUGGACUGCAACUGACGCUGAGGCUCGAAAGCCAGGGGAGCGAACGGGAUUAGAUACCCCAGUAGUCCCUGUCUCUUAUACA